Molecule: long non-coding RNA, 852 nt
Filed under: Junco hyemalis (dark-eyed junco)
Lineage: Eukaryota; Metazoa; Chordata; Aves; Passeriformes; Passerellidae
Description: lncRNA (ENSJHYG00000014969.1)
Source: RNAcentral
UUAUUUUUUUCCCUUUGGUGUGGUUUGGUUUUUUUUUCCUUUAGCCUCAAUACAGGCAAGGUCCUUCUCAAACAUGAAAGAAGGCUCUGUCUGAGAAAUUCAUUAGCCAAAUUAGAGAUAAAAUAAUGAGGGGGUGAGAAGGAGGCAGCAAGGGAUGGGGGUGGGAGGGCAAAUGUGGACAAGGAUAGCAGGAGAGAGUUCUCUGCUAGGGUAGCUGAUUAAAACAAUGGUACAGUACCUUGACUAAUGUGAAGCUAAUUAAAACUGUAUAGGACAAAGCACUUCUAAAUAUACUAUAGGGAUCAAUCUUGCUAUGGCAAAUCCAUCCCCAGUGAAAUUUCAUUGACUUCAAUGGGUUUUCUUCUGGGAUGAAUUUGGACUGAUAACUUAAUAAUUCUUUUCUGUCUUUAAUUUCUAAGGACUUUUUGUCAGAAGCACGGCAAGGAACUUCAGUUUGGCUUUCAAAAGUGCUGAACACCCAAAACUCCUACCAAGGCUUCCUGGAAUUACAGAAGCUGAAGUGCCCCUAAUGCUUGGCGAACAGUUACCCUGUAAUCUUCCUGACUCUUUGAAAAAGGAAGAAAAACAAUGCAUACAAAUUUCUGAGAACCUUGCUGAUGCUGAGUCUCCUUGAGUGAGAAAACAGGUGGGCUCUCCCUUCCUGGCCAGACUGAAAGCAUGUCACAUUCUCCUGCAGAAUUUUCACAUGAGGAUGUUUGGGAGAGCUCUUUGUGGUGCAACUCACUUGAGUCUUAUUUUGAGGUGAGGUGGAUGCUUGUAUAAAUAAUGUCAUUGUCCUCUCAUACUCUUUUGUAUCUCUGCUAGUGUUUUGCUUUUGUUGGUUGUGGCCAG